This is a long non-coding RNA of Monomorium pharaonis (pharaoh ant), 1283 nucleotides long. RefSeq lists it as uncharacterized. The transcript is spliced from 2 exons. Lineage: Eukaryota; Metazoa; Arthropoda; Insecta; Hymenoptera; Formicidae. The record is from RefSeq and is a predicted model, not a curated record.
GUAAUACAACUCUCUGUUAUAGGGGUUCACACGCCUUCCGGAACGGAACGGGACGCUGGGUUCACUUUCUUUCCGGAACGGAACGGGGCACGGGACAGAUCAGCUCCCGAUCGAGUGGCAUCGCAAUUUGUCUAAUUGAAUCCGUAACAAUCCUGAGAUGCAUUGGCCCUGGGAGCGGAUAUCGUUGCGACGUUCGAUUGGCAAGUAAAAUUUACAUUUAAUUCGAUAUUGUAACAAAAGUCAUGGAACGGUCGAAUAAGUCUCAUCGCGGUUCACGUCUCGACACAUUUUAUUUCACAUUUUGAUAUUUUUUGUAUAAAUUAUUCUCGCGAGCGAUCGAAGCGAUUAACGUGAUAAUCGCAUUUUCGCGAUAAUGCGACAAUUGUUGACUUAUAUACAAGCUAAAAUUUCUUUUGUUAUUUUUAUAAAUAAUGUUAUUUUUAUUAAUAUAAACCAUCUAUAAAAAUAUGUUGCUAAAUAUAUUAUUCAGAUAACUUAUAUAUGUAUGUAAUUUAAUAAAGUAUAGAUAAUAAUAUAAUUUUAUCUUAAUUUACUUUGCAGGAACAGUAUGUGUAAUAGAUCCUUAAACUAUUUCAUAAUUUAUUUAAAAAAUUGUUUAUUAUAUAUUGUUCUUACAGAAAUUUAAUACUGACAGUAUUAAAUUAGCCAAUGAUUAUAAUAAUUACUUAUUAUUUGAAUAUUAAAACAGUAUUAAAAUAGUUGUAAUUUUAAUAUUUAAAAUAAAUCACUGGUCAAUAUUUAAUACUGUCAAUAUCAAAUUUCUGGGUGUACCAUAAAGAUAUUUUGCAUCUAAACUAGUGUGAGGACCCUUAUUCCAAGGAAACUCAUCGUCACUGCAUUCCAUGUUGUAUCCAAUUCCAACAAUUUUUUUGUCACUAUUAAAGAUACACGCGCCGACCUGGGUGCAAGGAUCUUUGCUCUGUUUUGUAGAAAGGAACGCAAUAGCCAUGAAAUAUUCAUCCCAAUCAAUGUACGACGUUCUCUUAGAAUUAUUUCUAUAAUUACAAAACAGAGAUAGGUAUCAAUAAUAAAUCAGCAUCUAAAAUACAUGUAUUUCUGUACAUUUAUUACAGGAAUAAAUAUUUUUCAGAUUGAAAUAAAAACAUACCGUUCGCACAUUGUUUUCGCCAUGGUUAAUUAAGCCUUUACUUGAAUUUCUCACAAAAACACAGAUCUAAUAUUUAAAUAUUUAUAUAUUUGAAUAAAUAGCGCUAUGAUAACGAAAUCUUAACUUAUAUGCAGAACAGAAAGGUAGAAUUCCC